Molecule: long non-coding RNA, 339 nt
Organism: Corythoichthys intestinalis (scribbled pipefish)
Lineage: Eukaryota; Metazoa; Chordata; Actinopteri; Syngnathiformes; Syngnathidae
Exons: 3
Source: RefSeq, a predicted model, not a curated record
GAGGAAAUCUAGCACACCUGUCUGUAAACCUGUCCACACGCUGCACUGUCUGAGAAGCAGCGCAGCCACAUCGUAGACUGUAGUGUGGAGAGGUUAUAUUGGUUCGAUUGAAGAUAGCGCGCUCGGAAAGCAGAUGGAGUUUUCACGGUGUCAACAAAAGAACAAAAAAUGACUGAAAAUAAAGUUAAAGAACACCCGUCGAAGCCCUCUGCGUGUCGCAUCAUUCCGAGCGGUCAGCUACAGUGAAAACUCCUCGGCGGCGACCAGCGCAUGUUUCCCGGCUGCAACGGAUUGCCAUUUCGGUGGAGGCCCGGACGCCCUCGUACCUUAAAUUCAUCG